AUUGAACGCUGGCGGCAGGCCUAACACAUGCAAGUCGAACGCGUGGCGGACGGGUGAGUAAUGUCUGGGAAACUGCCCGAUGGAGGGGGAUAACUACUGGAAACGGUAGCUAAUACCGCAUACCAUCGGAUGUGCCCAGAUGGGAUUAGCUAGUGGGUGGGGUAACGGCUCACCUAGGCGUCGAUCCCUAGCUGGGCUGAGAGGCUGACCGGCCAAACUGGAACUGAGACACGGUCCAGACGCCUACGGGAGGCAGCAGUGGGGAAUAUUGCACAAUGGGCGAAAGCCUGAUGCAGCAAUGCCGCGUGUAUGAAGAAGGCCUUCGGGUUGUAAAGUACUGUUAGCGAGGAGGCGUUACUCGCAGAGAAAGCACCGGCUAACUCCGUGCCAGCAGCCGCGGUAAUUC
RNAcentral lists this ribosomal RNA (406 nucleotides) under uncultured bacterium. RNAcentral's name for it is "partial 16S ribosomal RNA". It matches the Rfam family "Bacterial small subunit ribosomal RNA", at positions 30 to 526 of the family's 1533-position model. The record is from RNAcentral.